UUUUUUUUUUUCUUUUUGUAUUUUUAGUGGAGAUGGGUUUUCUCCAUGUUGCCCAAGCUGGUCUCAAACUCCUGACCUCAAGCACUCUGCCCGCCUCAGCCUCCCAAAGUGCUGGGAGGGAGCCACCGUGUCCACCCAGACUUUUUCAUUUCUGUUGUGAGAGUUGUCAGAAUGAAACUGAAAUCACUGAUGUUAAGGAAACCCUGACAAAUAGAGCUGUGAAAGGACAUGGAGGGAGGGAUCUCAGGUUUGCAUGCCUGAUCAUUAAAAAGACUCUACAAAAACCACAACCUUGCACAAAGGCCAUUGUAGCCCAACACAAAAAAUACUUCUGCAAGAACAUGUGUCCAGCAACUGUCUGUCAACCUUGGGCUGGCGUCACCCUUGUUUUUGUUCUCAGUAGCCAAGGAUAAUUAUUUCAAAACAACUAUGUAAUCCUCCUCAUCUCUACCUUUAGAAACCAUUGUCUUUCUUUCCCUCCCCAAAUAUGCACAAAGUUAACUAUAGCAUGCAGAUUCCCAUUACAGUACUCUAUUCCAAAAUAAACAUCUUUUUCUUUUAAAGAGACUCUCUGUUAGUUAUUUGGGUGGACGUUGUUAUGGGAUAACCUGUGCACCCCCUUAAAAUUCAUAUGUUGAAGCCCUAGGCCCAAGCUUUCAGAGUGUGACUGUAUUUGGAGAUAUGGUCUUUAAAGAGAAGAUUAAGGUAACAUAAGGUCAUAAGAGUGGGCCCUAGUCUAAUAUGACUGGUGUCCUUAUAGGAAAUUAGGACACAGGUACAGAGAGAAGGCCAUGUGAAGACACAGGGAGAAGACAACCAUCUGCUAGCCAAGGAGAGAGGCCGGACUCUGAAAUAACCAAUCCAGCUGCCACCUGGUUCUCCGACUUCCAACCUCACUGUGAAAAAAAUACAUUUCCAACCUCUUUUGUACUCAGUUCCCCUCUGGGUUUUCCAUUCUAUUUAUAUUUUCUCCCAUUUAGCAACCUUAAACACUCAUGGGAAAAGUCCCCAUUGCACCCUCUCCCUGUCCCUCAACACAAUUAUCUUUCUCCCUCUGAUAGGGUUUGGAUAUUUGCCCUUCCAAAUCUCAGGUCGAAAUAUAACCCCUCAUGUUGGAGGUGGGGCCUAGUGGGAGGUGUCUGGGUCAUGUGGACAGAUCCCUGACAACUGUCUUGGUGCCAUCCUCACAAUAAUAAGUGAGUUCUCACUCUAUGAGGUCACCCGAGAUCUGCUUGUCUGAAAGAGCCUGGUACGUCCGCCUCUCUCUCGCCAUGUAACAUUCAGGCUGCCCCUUCACCUUCCAACAUGGUUGGAAGUUUCCUGAGGCCUCAACAGAAGCAGAUGCCUGCACCAUGCCUCCUGUACAGCCUGAAGAACCAUGGGCUAAAAUAAACCAUUUUACAUCAUCAGUCACCCAGCCUCAGGUAUGCCUUUACAGCAACACAAAAACGGACUAACGCGCUCUCUCUCUCUUUCUGUUCUAUAACACACAGCAAUUGUAUAUGGGGAAAUUAAGCCAUUAACACACAACAUACACAAAGCCGUGUCUGUAACUAAAGGAGUACACAUGAAAAGUAACACACACAAUAGUAUCCAAUGCCAGGAAGGGUUUGGUGAAAUAGACACUCACAUAAACUGUUGGUGGGAGUAUAUAUUUGAGGUAACUUUCUGGAGGUUAAUUUGGCCACAUAC
Long non-coding RNA from Macaca fascicularis (crab-eating macaque), 1692 nucleotides. NCBI's taxonomy places the organism in Eukaryota, Metazoa, Chordata, Mammalia, Primates, Cercopithecidae. The record is from Ensembl.